AGAGGCCUAAACCUGCCAUCCUUGCCCAUUUCGUUGGCAGCUUUGCCAUUUGUUGCAACAGCCCAAUUGUAUGGGCUUAAGCCCAGUUCGGCUAAGGUUAGUGUACGUAUGAUGUUAUGGCUUUGCACAAAACUCCAAAGCAAAGAAACCCUACCUCUCUUUUUGAACUAUGACGGCAGACGAUACCUCCUCUCUUCAUCGAAGUUGCACCUCCUCAAUUCUGGAUUUGGUUGAUCAAAUUGUGUUAAACAAGUAACUAAUCCUACCGAGCAAACCGAAGGGCGUUAGGCAUCUUGGUAUUGGGAAGCUUGCUAUCUGGGAGUGCUGGAGUGGUCAUGGA
Long non-coding RNA from Helianthus annuus (common sunflower), 340 nucleotides. RefSeq lists it as uncharacterized. NCBI's taxonomy places the organism in Eukaryota, Viridiplantae, Streptophyta, Magnoliopsida, Asterales, Asteraceae. The transcript is spliced from 3 exons. The record is from RefSeq and is a predicted model, not a curated record.